CCUACGGGAGACAGCAGUGAGGAAUAUUGGUCAAUGGACGCAAGUCUGAACCAGCCAUGCCGCGUGCAGGAAGACGGCUCUAUGAGUUGUAAACUGCUUUUGUACGAGGGUAAACGCAGAUACGCGUAUCUGUCUGAAAGUAUCGUACGAAUAAGGAUCGGCUAACUCCGUGCCAGCAGCCGCGGUAAUACGGAGGAUUCAAGCGUUAUCCGGAUUUAUUGGGUUUAAAGGGUGCGUAGGCGGUCGGAUAAGUUAGAGGUGAAAUCCCGAGGCUCAACUUCGGAAUUGCCUCUGAUACUGUUCGGCGAGAGAGUAGUGGCGGUAGGCGGAAUGUAUGGUGUAGCGGUGAAAUGCUUAGAGAUCAUACAGAACACCGAUUGCGAAGGCAGCUUACCAAGCUACUUCUGACGUUGAGGCACGAAAGCGUGGGGAGCAAACAGGAUUAGAUACCCCUGUAGUC
RNAcentral lists this ribosomal RNA (460 nucleotides) under uncultured bacterium. RNAcentral describes it as "partial 16S ribosomal RNA". It matches the Rfam family "Bacterial small subunit ribosomal RNA", at positions 338 to 795 of the family's 1533-position model. The record is from RNAcentral.